Molecule: ribosomal RNA, 422 nt
Filed under: uncultured bacterium
Lineage: Bacteria
Description: bacterial SSU rRNA
Rfam family: Bacterial small subunit ribosomal RNA
Source: RNAcentral
UGAGGAAUAUUGGGCAAUGCCCGCAAGGGUGACCCAGCAACGCCGCGUGGAGGAUGAAUGUCGUAAGAUUGUAAACUCCUGUUAGAGGGGAAGAAUAGUACCGGUUGGACCGGUAUAUGACUGUACCCUCAGAGAAAGCCCCGGCUAACUACGUGCCAGCAGCCGCGGUAAUACGUGGGGGGCAAGCGUUGUCCGGAUUUACUGGGUGUAAAGGGCGCGCAGGCGGGAUAAAAAGUCAGUGGUGAAAUCCUACAGCUUAACUGUAGAACUGCCUUUGAUACUUUUAUUCUUGAGUUCGGGAGAGAGAGACGGAAUUCCAGGUGUAGUGGUGAAAUACGUAGAUAUCUGGAAGAACACCAGUUGCGAAGGCGGUCUCUUGGUCCGACACUGACGCUGAGGCGCGGAAGCGUGGGGAGCAAACA